CAGUAGCCGCGGUAAUACGGAGGGUGCAAGCGUUAAUCGGAAUUACUGGGCGUAAAGCGCACGCAGGCGGUCUGUCAAGUCAGAUGUGAAAUCCCCGGGCUUAACCUGGGAACUGCAUUUGAAACUGGCAGGCUAGAGUCUUGUAGAGGGGGGUAGAAUUCCAGGUGUAGCGGUGAAAUGCGUAGAGAUCUGGAGGAAUACCGGUGGCGAAGGCGGCCCCCUGGACAAAGACUGACGCUCAGGUGCGAAAGCGUGGGGAGCAAACAGGAUUAGAUACCCGCGUAGUCCCUGUCUCUUAUAA
RNAcentral lists this ribosomal RNA (301 nucleotides) under uncultured bacterium. RNAcentral's name for it is "partial 16S ribosomal RNA". It matches the Rfam family "Bacterial small subunit ribosomal RNA", at positions 509 to 809 of the family's 1533-position model. The record is from RNAcentral.